AGAAGCCAGUUCUUCCAAACAAAGGAACUUAGGAUUUACAAGUCAGUAAAACAUGUGCAACAUUUCCACAAAUGUACCAGAGUUGUUCGUAAUCAUAACAGCAUUGGCUGGGCAAGCUAGGGCAGGGAAUGUGAUGAACAGUGGGCUUGAAUAAGUGAAGUGGAGGAGGGGAGGCUUCUCAGGAAGGGAGAAUAGCAUGAACAGCAGCAUAGACGUGAGAAUAACCAUCUGGAGUGAUGAACCUAUGCUGAGUAGAAAGUUCCAGAAGGCUGCAUAAGAGAGGUGUGUGAACAGCAGAAGCAGGACAAGCCUGAGAUGAAUGUGAGGUUCUGCUCUGUUGUAACAACGCUGUCUUCUCACAAGCUACUCAUGUGCCUUAUAAGAAGAUAACCCACAAUCCCUGACUCUGCUUUAUUCAAUGACUAGCUACUGCAGACUGCGUAAAUGGACAGGACAGCCAGAGAGGGAGAAGACGGCUAAACUGAAGCAACUUGGAGCUAGUCUUUCAGAAAAUA
RNAcentral lists this non-coding RNA (515 nucleotides) under Pongo abelii (Sumatran orangutan). Lineage: Eukaryota; Metazoa; Chordata; Mammalia; Primates; Hominidae. The record is from RNAcentral.